This 500-nucleotide ribosomal RNA is filed under the name uncultured Glomeromycotina. Its description in RNAcentral is "partial small subunit ribosomal RNA". It matches the Rfam family "Eukaryotic small subunit ribosomal RNA", at positions 591 to 1092 of the family's 1831-position model. Lineage: Eukaryota; Fungi; Glomeromycota. The record is from RNAcentral.
CCAAUAGCGUAUAUUAAAGUUGUUGCAGUUAAAAAGCUCGUAGUUGAAUUUCGGGGUUAGUAGGUUGGUCAUGCCUCUGGUAUGUACUGGUCUCACUGAUUCCUCCUUCCUGAUGAGCCGUAAUGCCAUUAAUUUGGUGUUGCGGGGAAUUUGGACUGUUACUUUGAAAAAAUUAGAGUGUUUAAAGCAAGCUAACGCUUGAAUACAUUAGCAUGGAAUAAUGAAAUAGGACGUUCGAUCCUAUUUUGUUGGUUUCUAGGAUUGACGUAAUGAUUAAUAGGGAUAGUUGGGGGCAUUAGUAUUCAAUUGUCAGAGGUGAAAUUCUUGGAUUUAUCGAAGACUAACUACUGCGAAAGCAUUUGCCAAGGAUGUUUUCAUUAAUCAAGAACGAAAGUUAGGGGAUCGAAGACGAUCAGAUACCGUCGUAGUCUUAACCAUAAGCUAUGCCGACUAGGGAUCGGAUGAUGUUAAUUUUUUAAUGACUCAUUCGGCGCCUUACG